CUCCGCUGUUUCUAUAUGUCUCACUCAGAGGGCUGCAACAUUUUAAAGGAAGUAAGGCCUCAUUCAUGCACGCUGCUGCAGAAAACAAAGGCUGGAGAUGGCGAUACCAUGGGAACAGGCGGUGUGGUUCAGAGAUCAUGCAAAGGCAUUGCCUCUCCCAUUUCAAAAUAAAUCCUCUGUGGGAUUGCAGAGAGCUCAAAGAAAACAGUCCAGAAGUUCUUGAUGAGCUCAUCAGAGGCAGAGCACUUUUCAUAGGAAGCACACUGAAGAGAAAGUAGAAAAACUCAGGUACUCCUUUGAAAAGCUCCUGGAGUUCCUCGGGGUGGAACAUGCUCCAGGCAUCAAGUGGACAGCCCUUAUAGAAACCUCUUGAAAAAUGUUUGAACUGUUUCUUUACGGACUUGUUGAAAACGAAGUUCACAUACAAAUCCACAUACUUCUGUCUGGGGAAAAAAAAGUUCUUUCUUUGCAAUGCACAAAAGGAACAUUUACAGCGGGGGUCACCAGACUUGGUCCUAGAAAGGCUGGUGUCCAGCAGUGUUUAGCUCUGACUUACCUCAACACACACUUGCCUUGAAGUUUCAAGUAUACCUAGCAAGACCUUGAUUAGCUAGUUGAGGUGUGUUUGAUUAGGGUUGUGUCUAAACUCUGCAGGACACCAGCGCCCCAGGAACAAGAUUUCUGACCCCAGAUCUAUAGCAUCUAUAGAUUAAUUUGCCGUUUUAUGUUGUUUUGUCAUGUAUGUAUUUCAGAAGUAAUGCAUAAUUAAAUUAAGUCUAUUAUAACAUCAA
This is a long non-coding RNA of Carassius carassius (crucian carp), 791 nucleotides long. RefSeq lists it as uncharacterized. The record is from RefSeq and is a predicted model, not a curated record. The transcript has 4 exons. Lineage: Eukaryota; Metazoa; Chordata; Actinopteri; Cypriniformes; Cyprinidae.